UGGGAUGUGGCUCAGUGACAGGGCACUUGCCCGGUGUGCAUGAGGUCCUGGGUUCAAUCCCCAGCCACACAA
Non-coding RNA from Ictidomys tridecemlineatus (thirteen-lined ground squirrel), 72 nucleotides. The record is from Rfam. Lineage: Eukaryota; Metazoa; Chordata; Mammalia; Rodentia; Sciuridae.